GACGAACGCUGGCGGCGUGCCUAAUACAUGCAAGUUGAGCGCUGAAGGUUGGUACUUGUACCAACUGGAUGAGCAGCGAACGGGUGAGUAACGCGUGGGGAAUCUGCCUUUGAGCGGGGGACAACAUUUGGAAACGAAUGCUAAUACCGCAUAAAAACUUUAAACACAAGUUUUAAGUUUGAAAGAUGCAAUUGCAUCACUCAAAGAUGAUCCCGCGUUGUAUUAGCUAGUUGGUGAGGUAAAGGCUCACCAAGGCGAUGAUACAUAGCCGACCUGAGAGGGUGAUCGGCCACAUUGGGACUGAGACACGGCCCAAACUCCUACGGGAGGCAGCAGGAGGGAAUCUUCGGCAAUGGACGAAAGUCUGACCGAGAAACGCCGCGUGAGUGAAGAAGGUUUUCGGAUCGUAAAACUCUGUUGGUAGAGAAGAACGUUGGUGAGAGUGGAAAGCUCAUCAAGUGACGGUAACUACCCAGAAAGGGACGGCUAACUACGUG
This 497-nucleotide ribosomal RNA is filed under the name uncultured bacterium. RNAcentral describes it as "partial 16S ribosomal RNA". It matches the Rfam family "Bacterial small subunit ribosomal RNA", at positions 28 to 507 of the family's 1533-position model. The record is from RNAcentral.